CCCUUAGAUGUUCUGGGCCGCACGCGCGCUACACUGAUGCAUUCAACGAGCCUAUCCUUGACCGACAGGUCCGGGUAAUCUUUGAAUCUGCAUCGUGACGGGGAUAGAUUAUUGCAAUUAUUAAUCUUCAACGAGGAAUGCCUAGUAGGCGCAAGUCAUCAGCUUGCGUCGAUUACGUCCCUGCCCUUUGUACACACCGCCCGUCGCUCCUACCGAUUGGGUGUGCUGGUGAGAUGUUCGGAUCGGCCGUUUGUCGCGGUUUCCGCGGCUCGUGGCUGAGAAGUUCAUUAAACCCUCCCACCGAGAGGAAGGAGAAGUCGUAACA
Molecule: ribosomal RNA, 325 nt
Filed under: uncultured eukaryote
Lineage: Eukaryota
Description: partial 18S ribosomal RNA
Rfam family: Eukaryotic small subunit ribosomal RNA
Source: RNAcentral